Molecule: ribosomal RNA, 361 nt
Filed under: uncultured bacterium
Lineage: Bacteria
Description: partial 16S ribosomal RNA
Source: RNAcentral
GUGCCAGCAGGCCGCGGGCAUCAUUUCCGAGGCCGCCCACGAGGACGCCAAGAUCUUUUUCGGUACGGUGUUCGACGAGGACGCCGGGGACGAGAUGCGCAUCACGGUGAUCGCCACGGGCAUCGGGGAAAGCGGGAAUGGCCGCGCCAGCGAGGAGGGCACCCGCGUCAUCGACAUGGGCGGCGCCCGCGGGAACAUGGCCUAUCCUUCCAUUGCCGGAACGGCCCAACGCAGGCCGUACGUCCCCUGUCACGGGGAGGACAGGAGCAUCCCGGCCUAUCUGCGCAAAGGCGGCAAACCCGAGCCCCUUGUGCCGCCGCAGUCCCAGAACAAGGCGCUCAAGGCCGCGGCCUGCUGGCAC